RNAcentral lists this ribosomal RNA (519 nucleotides) under uncultured eukaryote. RNAcentral describes it as "SSU rRNA". It matches the Rfam family "Eukaryotic small subunit ribosomal RNA", at positions 1161 to 1704 of the family's 1831-position model. The record is from RNAcentral.
AGGGCACCACCAGGAGUGGAGCCUGCGGCCUAAUUUGACUCAACACGGGAAAACUCACCCGGCCCGGACACCGUAAGGAUUGACAGAUUGAGAGCUCUUUCUUGAUUCGGUGGUUGGUGGUGCAUGGCCGUUCUUAGUUGGUGGAGCGAUUUGUCUGGUUAAUUCCGAUAACGAACGAGACUCUAGCCUGCUAAAUAGGCAGUGGAUUCUUAGUCCACUGUACUUCUUAGAGGGACAAGCAGCGUCUAGCUGCACGAGAUUGAGCAAUAACAGGUCUGUGAUGCCCUUAGAUGUUCGGGGCUGCACGCGCGCUACACUGAAGGAAUCAACAUGCUUCUCAACCCUGCCCGGAAGGGCUAGGUAACCCGUUGAAACUCCUUCGUGAUUGGGAUAGGGAAUUGCAAUUAUUUCCCUUGAACGAGGAAUUCCCAGUAAGUGCGGGUCAUCAGCUCGCGCUGAUUACGUCCCUGCCCUUUGUACACACCGCCCGUCGCUACUACCGAUUGGAAGUAGACGAGA